This 1263-nucleotide long non-coding RNA is filed under the name Oreochromis niloticus (Nile tilapia). RNAcentral describes it as "lncRNA (ENSONIG00000027826.1)". Lineage: Eukaryota; Metazoa; Chordata; Actinopteri; Cichliformes; Cichlidae. The record is from RNAcentral.
CAUUUUGACCUGUACUGCAGUGACAGUGGCAGAAUAUGGUAAUGGGUCAGCAUGGGAAAAUCUGGAUGGGCCUGGUUAAUUGUAAAAUUCAUAUGAGAUGUGAGUGUGCUCAUAAAAGCUACAUGUUAUAAUCAAAUCUGUUGGUCCUCUCCUCUGUACGUAAAUUAUCCUAUGAUGCAAAGAAUAUCUGUAACCUACCUUUGUGUAAGUUAUGUUAAAUUAUAUUAAAAAAAACACACACACAAUGACAUGCAGGCACAACCAAAUGAUGUUAAAAAAAAACUGGUCCAUUUCCAUUUUAUUAAGUUCCAGUUAUAAUUUUUAAUGUUUUAAAUCUUGGUUGUAGCCUUCAAAAACGUGAAAUCAUUUUACAGUUAUGUUUGGCCAUUUACUUUUUCGCUUUUACUACAUCCUAGAAUUGUUCAUUAAUUGUGAGGUUUUUAUGGAAUUUGCAACAUCAAGUUAAACCGAGGUUCUUUGGAAGUUAAAAUGUCAAGCAGAUUUUUAUGUUACGGUGACUACAUUUUGUAAGUUACAAAUAUAGUUCGCCAAGACAGCAUAACGGUUUCUAAACAACUGCGCAUUAAUACCACAAUGUUGUAUUUUCAUGUGUCAAGUUCGCAACGCGCAUUAAUCCCAAAGGCUGAAAAGCCAGCAGCGAUGAGUGCUCCGCCUCCGCGCUGACUAGCGUUGACACAGAAAAUGACUCUCAGGGGUUAUUGAUGGAGGAGCUCCUUAAAAAGUUGAUGGAAGAAGGCAUUGAUGUGUCAGACGACGAGGCGCAAAGGUUUAGAGGAUUCGUGCUUUGUGGGGGAAGAUGCAGCCUCCGUUGAUGCUCAUAUCAAGGUGCUAAAUGAUCAGCACAGGACGCUACAUCCUGACACAGCACUGGUGAAAGACCGCAUGACAAAAACCUUUGCAUGGAGACGUCAAGAGGUAGCUGAAGGAAUGUGUACUGUGGACCUAUUAAAGAGAUAUCCAUUCCUGGGGACAUCUGCAGGGUUGUGUGAUGAGGUUGAUUUAAUGCAUCCCUGCCAAGACAACAUCUGUUGCCGCUUUAGCGAGAACUUCACUGCUGUUCUUCAAAAUGUUCUUCAAAUGACCAAGGAUUUGCCACUGAAGAAGGUCUACAUGGAGGCAAGAGAGAAUGCACUGGCUGAAGACAUUACAGGAAUUGACUUCAAGGGGGCACUUCUCCUCUUGCCAUCCAUCUUCAAGGAGAAGAUAGAAGAUUUCAUCAUCCUUGGAGAGGUAAAUGCAUGA